UACGAAGGGGGCUAGCGUUGUUCGGAAUCACUGGGCGUAAAGCGCUUGUAGGCGGAUCGUUAAGUCAGGGGUGAAAUCCCGAGGCUCAACCUCGGAACUGCCUUUGAUACUGGCGAUCUUUGAGUCCGGGAGAGGUGAGUGGAACUCCGAGUGUAGAGGUGAAAUUCGUAGAUAUUCGGAAGAACACCAGUGGCGAAGGCGGCUCACUGGCCCGGUACUGACGCUUAAGAGCGAAAGCGUGGGGAGCAAACAGG
RNAcentral lists this ribosomal RNA (254 nucleotides) under uncultured bacterium. Its description in RNAcentral is "partial 16S ribosomal RNA". It matches the Rfam family "Bacterial small subunit ribosomal RNA", at positions 524 to 776 of the family's 1533-position model. The record is from RNAcentral.